UACGUAGGGUCCGAGCGUUGUCCGGAAUUACUGGGCGUAAAGAGCUCGUAGGUGGUUUGUCGCGUUGUUCGUGAAAACUCACAGCUCAACUGUGGGCGUGCGGGCGAUACGGGCAGACUGGAGUACUGCAGGGGAGACUGGAAUUCCUGGUGUAGCGGUGGAAUGCGCAGAUAUCAGGAGGAACACCGGUGGCGCAGGCGGGUCUCUGGGCAGUAACUGACGCUGAGGAGCGAAAGCGUGGGGAGCGAACAGG
RNAcentral lists this ribosomal RNA (253 nucleotides) under uncultured bacterium. RNAcentral's name for it is "partial 16S ribosomal RNA". It matches the Rfam family "Bacterial small subunit ribosomal RNA", at positions 524 to 776 of the family's 1533-position model. The record is from RNAcentral.